Myotis lucifugus (little brown bat) is the source of this 72-nucleotide non-coding RNA. Lineage: Eukaryota; Metazoa; Chordata; Mammalia; Chiroptera; Vespertilionidae. The record is from Rfam.
GGCAGUUCUUGGGUGACACACCCCGGAAUCGGGCUCCCUCCUCUCUGGUUCCGGGUGCAUUGAGCAUCUGCC